CAGGGCCUGCAGGGGUUGCCGUGGCCACUGCAAUGCAGAAAUAUGAGAAACUGGAGAAGAUUGGGGAAGGGCACCUAUGGAACUGUAUUCAAGGCCCCAAACCGGGAGACCCAUGAGAUUGUGGCUCUGAAACGGAUGAGGCUGGAUGAUGAUGAUGAGGGUGUGCCGAGUUCUGCCUACUGAGGGAGAUCUGCCUCCUCAAGGAGCUGAAGCACAAGAACAUCGUCAGGCUUCGUUCUGCAUAGUGACAAGAAGCUGACUUUGGUUUUUGAGUUCUGUGAUCAGGACCUGAAGAAGUAUUUUGACAACUGCAAUGGUGACCUCGAUCCUGAGAUUCUGAAGUCAUUCCUUUUCCAGCUGCUGAAAGGCCUGGGAUUCUGUCAUAGCUGCAACGUGUUUCACAGGGACCUGAAGCCCCAGAACCUCCUCAUAAACAGGAAUGAGGAGCUGAAGUUGGCUGAUUUUGGUUUGGCUCAAGCCUUUGGGAUCCCAGUCUGCUGUUACUCUGCUGGAGGUGGUGACAUUGUGGUACCGUCCACAGGAUGACCUCUUUGGGGCCAAACUGUACUCCACGUCCAUGGACAUGUGGUCAGCUGGCUGCAUCUUUGCAGAGCUGGCCAAUGCUGGGCAACCUCUUUUCCUUGGCAAUGAUGAGGAUGACCAACUGAAGAAGAUCUUCCGGCUGCUGGGGACACCAACUGAGGAGCAGUGGCCCGCUAUGACUAAGCUGCCAGACUACAAGCCCUACCCAAUGUAUCCCGCCACAACAUCCCUGGUGAAUGCCGUG
This 787-nucleotide long non-coding RNA is filed under the name Marmota monax (woodchuck). Lineage: Eukaryota; Metazoa; Chordata; Mammalia; Rodentia; Sciuridae. The record is from RNAcentral.